GGGGGGAGCGCCGGAUCUUGGGCUGUGUCUCCCAGCGCCCUGGGCUCUGGGGCCUGCACCACUGGAAUCGCGCUCCUGCGGCUGCACAGCCCCCC
Molecule: microRNA precursor, 95 nt
Filed under: Canis lupus familiaris (dog)
Lineage: Eukaryota; Metazoa; Chordata; Mammalia; Carnivora; Canidae
Also listed under: 1 other name
Description: mir-8799 microRNA precursor family
Rfam family: mir-8799 microRNA precursor family
Source: Rfam by way of RNAcentral